GAUGAUUUAGUGGUGAAAUAUUAUUCAAACUGUUUUUUAUCUAGUUUUUAAAGAAAAUAAUUAUUAUUGUUAACAUUAGUUUGGUAGUUAGGGAUUAGCUUAACUAUUAUUAGUAUACAGGAUUUGAAGUUGAUCAUUUGUUGGGUUGAUAGUAUUUAUUUUUAUAGUGUUAUAAGAGAGUGAGUUAAAGUUUAGUUUUGUUUUAUUGUUGCUUUGUGUAUUUAAAAUAAGGUUAGAAUGUAAAGUGUCUUGUUAUAAUGAUUAGAUUAGUAAUAUAUUAUUAUUUUUAUUUAUUGAAAUUUAUAGAAUUUUAUUAAUUUUUUAUUUAAUUUUGUUAAUUGAAUUCGGCAAAAUAUUUUUUGACUGUUUAGCAAAUACAUUGCUUUUUGUUAGAAUAAAGGGUAAAGUCUGUCCGCUGCUAUAAGUGAAGGACUGCAGUAUUUUGACUGUAUUAAGGUAGCAUGAUCAUUAGUUUUUUUAUUGGGAACUGGAAUGAAGGUGAAACGGGGAAUAGCUGUAAGAGUGAAUGGUAUGAAUUUUAUUAUUAUGUGAAAAAGCUUGAUUGAUUAAAAGGGACAAGAAGACCCUAAUAAGCUUAAUUUUUUGGUUUUUAUUAUUAUAUUUAGAUUAGUGGUUUGUUAGGAUUAAUAAAAGUUUAAUUGGGGCGAUUUCUUAUUAACUAAAGAAUUAUUUUAAUUUU
This 700-nucleotide ribosomal RNA is filed under the name Kepolydesmus anderisus. RNAcentral describes it as "partial large subunit ribosomal RNA". Lineage: Eukaryota; Metazoa; Arthropoda; Diplopoda; Polydesmida; Nearctodesmidae. The record is from RNAcentral.